AGAGAGAGAGAGAGAGAGUGUAUCGCUGUCAAGGGCGUAAUUGGAAUUUGAGGUUUGUCUCGAUAAGUUUUUUUUAUACAACGAAGCUGAAGAUUUUAGCUUCGUGAUUGGAUCGUCGUUUUCACACGCGCAUAGGAUUCGAUGGGCUCUGUGAAGCUUGUGAUAGUCUUAAGUAUUUAAUUAUUGGGAUCCAUUAUUUAUGUAAAAAAAAAUCUAGCUACUAUCUAUGCCUUCUGUUUCUAGUUAGGAUAAUUAUGUUUGUGUAUAAUUAUCCUAAUUUUUGACAAUUAUAAACUAUGGUAUGUGCGUUUUCUACAUUUGUAUGCAGAUUAGCUGUCACACUAUGUAACGAUUAUACAUUCUCCAAAGUAAUUACCGUUUAUGUUUAAAGUUAUUAACUUCAUAAUUUAAAAAAAAAGUUGUGUAACAACUGUCAAAAACAACAGAUAUAGAAAAAAGGUUAUCCAUGCUUUUAGAUCAAGUGGAAUGGUGAAACGUUAUCACCAUUCAACAAACAUACUGUUCUUACACAGAUCAAUGAUAGUGAUUUUGGGUUUCCUAUGCCGGUCUAGAAAUCAUAUGAAGUCAACCGUUCUUGGUUUUGACCAAUCAUAGCCUUGUGAAAGCUAUUUGUAUUUUUAAGUCAUUUCUCAGGAAUAUAAAUGAGGUGGAGUCAAAUUUUAAUAUUUUUCUUCUUCUGGGUAUAUGAAUGUGUAGGAGAAAUCUAUGUAAACUAAAAGGAUAAAUAGAAGAAAAAAUAGUGUGUUAUCUUUUUCUUUACAAGUAAAAGUGAGAGAGAAAGGUAGUGGUGGUGGUCUAGCUGUAAGAGGGAGCAAGUCGUCAGAAUGCUGCGUUGUAAUCAUAAUUAGCGACAACGAAAUUUUGACAACAACAAGAAGAAAAAAGUAAAAAGCGUUUUGCCUAUUUUUCCACGUCUCACACGUGGCGUCCGGCCAAUGGCUGUUUUUAUAGAAUUCUCCUUUUGAAAACGCAAAUGUUUUUGGAAUGUAGUUCAUAAGGGUCGAUCAAAAAAGAUAAAAAGAGCAAGUGGGGUUUUGUACUUUUGCUGCGGAAUUGAAUGUUACACAUGCGAGUGCAGAAGAUUCACUAUUCAUAAGUAGGUACCAUUGUUUAUGUAUAAAACAUGUAAACACUAUUAUCUGCUACCUAGGAAUAACUCUUUGGUUCAUUCUCUGUAAAGCAAUGAACAACCAUGCUGCAUUAAAGAAAAAGAGUAAUUAAUUUAUGUUCUACCAUGUAUCAUGGUCGUUUUGUAAAAGAAAAGGUUUGUUAUCAAACAAAGACAAGACAACAAGAAGAGCUCUUUGAGAAGGAUACAAAAUAAUUUGAGGUUUGUCUCGAUAAGUUUUUUUUAUACAACGAAGCUGAAGAUUUUAGCUUCGUGAUUGGAUCGUCGUUUUCACACGCGCAUAGGAUUCGAUGGGCUCUGUGAAGCUUGUGAUAGUCUUAAGUAUUUAAUUAUUGGGAUCCAUUAUUUAUGUAAAAAAAAAUCUAGCUACUAUCUAUGCCUUCUGUUUCUAGUUAGGAUAAUUAUGUUUGUGUAUAAU
RNAcentral lists this long non-coding RNA (1568 nucleotides) under Brassica napus (rape). RNAcentral describes it as "long non-coding RNA (BNAP_LNC009179)". Lineage: Eukaryota; Viridiplantae; Streptophyta; Magnoliopsida; Brassicales; Brassicaceae. The record is from RNAcentral.